AAAAGACUUAGUCCUAACCUUACCAUUGACUAUCAUUAGAUAUAUACAUGCAAGUAUCCGCGCUCCAGUGCAAAUGCCCUCGACCACGUGCCUUACCUACAGGCAGAAGGAGCAGGUAUCAGGCUCACCCCAUCCAGUAGCCCAAAACACCUAGCCCAGCCACACCCUCACGGGUUUUCAGCAGUAAUUAACAUUAAGCCAUGAGUGUAAACUCGACUUAGUCAUAAUGACUCAGGGCCGGUAAAUCUUGUGCCAGCCACCGCGGUCAUACAAGAGGCCCAAGUUAAUGGUAUACGGCGUAAAGAGUGGAAACAUGCUAUCCAAUUAACUAGGACCAAAAUGCAUCCAAGCUGUCAUACGCCCAAGAUAGCACCAAAAACCUCCACAAUAAACGGCCCUAGCACUAAGAGAUCAAUUAUACACCACGAAAGCCAAGAAACAAACUGGGAUUAGAUACCCCACUAUGCUCGGCCCUAAACCUAGAUGCUUGCUUUACCAAAGCAUUCGCCCGAGAACUACGAGCACAAACGCUUAAAACUCUAAGGACUUGGCGGUGCCCUAUACCCACCUAGAGGAGCCUGUUCUAUAAUCGAUACUCCACGAUUCACCUAACCACCUCUUGCCUUAAAGCAGCCUACAUACCGCCGUCGCCAGCUUGCCUACUGAAAGAACAACAGCAAGCACAAUAGUCCGUCACUAGCAAGACAGGUCAAGGUAUAGCCCAUGAGGUGGAAGAAAUGGGCUACAUUUUCUAACAUAGAACAUACCCCCUAUUUUAACGGAAAAGGAAAUGAAACACCCUUAGAAGGCGGAUUUAGUAGUAAAGCGGAAUCAGAAAGUCCACUUUAAACUGGCCCUAGGGCACGUACAUACCGCCCGUCACCCUCCUCACAAGCAACACACCCCAUAUUUAAUACACCCACUCCUGCUAAAGAUGAGGUAAGUCGUAACAAGGUAAGUGUACCGGAAGGUGCACUUAGCAUACC
This 986-nucleotide non-coding RNA is filed under the name Crypturellus soui. RNAcentral describes it as "12S ribosomal RNA". It matches the Rfam family "Bacterial small subunit ribosomal RNA". Lineage: Eukaryota; Metazoa; Chordata; Aves; Tinamiformes; Tinamidae. The record is from RNAcentral.